GAUGAACGCUGGCGGCGUGCCUAAUACAUGCAAGUCGAGCGAACAGACGAGGAGCUUUCGCCUCUAACGUUGGCGGCUGACGGGUGAGUAACACGUAGAUAACCUACCUAUAAUACUUGGAGAACUUCGGGAAACCGCAGCUAAUACUGGAGAAUAUGUUGAACCGCAUAAUGCAAGAGUUAUUGACACCUUUCCUGUCACUUAUAGAUGGUGCCGCGCCGCAUUAGCUAGUUGGUAAGGUAACGGCUUACCAAGGCGACGAUGCGUAGCCGAUCUGAGAGGGUGAUCGGCCACACUGGAACUGAGACACGGUCCAGACUCCUACGGGAGGCAGCAGUAGGGAAUAUUCGGCAAUGGGCGCAAGCCUGACCGAGCAACGCCGCGUGAGUGAUGAAGGCCUUCGGAUCGUAAAACUCUGUUAUUAGGGAAGAAAAACUGUGUAAGUAAAUACGCCCGUUCUGACGGUACCUAAAGAGAAAGCAACGGCUAACUACGUG
RNAcentral lists this ribosomal RNA (497 nucleotides) under uncultured bacterium. RNAcentral describes it as "partial 16S ribosomal RNA". It matches the Rfam family "Bacterial small subunit ribosomal RNA", at positions 28 to 507 of the family's 1533-position model. The record is from RNAcentral.